Molecule: ribosomal RNA, 425 nt
Filed under: uncultured bacterium
Lineage: Bacteria
Description: partial 16S ribosomal RNA
Rfam family: Bacterial small subunit ribosomal RNA
Source: RNAcentral
GUGGGGAAUAUUGGACAAUGGGCGCAAGCCUGAUCCAGCCAUGCCGCGUGAGUGAUGACGGCCCUAGGGUUGUAAAGCUCUUUCACCGGUGAAGAUAAUGACGGUAACCGGAGAAGAAGCCCCGGCUAACUUCGUGCCAGCAGCCGCGGUAAUACGAAGGGGGCUAGCGUUGUUCGGAAUUACUGGGCGUAAAGCGCACGUAGGCGGGUAUUUAAGUCAGGGGUGAAAUCCCGGAGCUCAACUCCGGAACUGCCUUUGAUACUGGGUACCUAGAGUAUGGAAGAGGUAAGUGGAAUUCCGAGUGUAGAGGUGAAAUUCGUAGAUAUUCGGAGGAACACCAGUGGCGAAGGCGGCUUACUGGUCCAUUACUGACGCUGAGGUGCGAAAGCGUGGGGAGCAAACAGGAUUAGAUACCCGGGUAGUCC